Molecule: ribosomal RNA, 460 nt
Filed under: uncultured bacterium
Lineage: Bacteria
Description: partial 16S ribosomal RNA
Rfam family: Bacterial small subunit ribosomal RNA
Source: RNAcentral
CCUACGGGUGGCAGCAGUGAGGAAUAUUGGUCAAUGGACGAGAGGCUGAACCAGCCAAGUAGCGUGAAGGAUGACUGCCCUAUGGUUUGUAAACUUCUUUUAUAUGGGAAUAAAACUGUGUAUGUGUACCCUUUUGUAUGUACCAUAUGAAUAAGCAUCGGCUAACUCCGUGCCAGCAGCCGCGGUAAUACGGAGGAUCCGAGCGUUAUCCGGAUUUAUUGGGUUUAAAGGGAGCGUAGGUGGUUUUUUAAGUCAGUUGUGAAAGUUUGCGGCUCAACCGUAAAAUUGCAGUUGAAACUGGCAGUCUUGAGUACAGUAGAGGUGGGCGGAAUGCGUGGUGUAGCGGUGAAAUGCAUAGAUAUCACGAAGAACUCCGAUUGCGAAGGCAGCUCACUGAACUGCAACUGACACUGAAGCUCGAAAGUGUGGGUAUCAAACAGGAUUAGAUACCCGUGUAGUC